AACGAACGCUGGCGGCAUGCCUAACACAUGCAAGUCGAACGAACCCUUCGGGGUUAGUGGCGCACGGGUGCGUAACGCGUGGGAAUCUGCCCUUUGCUUCGGAAUAACAGUUAGAAAUGACUGCUAAUACCGGAUGAUGUCUUCGGACCAAAGAUUUAUCGGCAAAGGAUGAGCCCGCGUAGGAUUAGGUAGUUGGUGGGGUAAAGGCCUACCAAGCCGACGAUCCUUAGCUGGUCUGAGAGGAUGAUCAGCCACACUGGGACUGAGACACGGCCCAGACUCCUACGGGAGGCAGCAGUGGGGAAUAUUGGACAAUGGGCGAAAGCCUGAUCCAGCAAUGCCGCGUGAGUGAUGAAGGCCUUAGGGUUGUAAAGCUCUUUUACCCGGGAUGAUAAUGACAGUACCGGGAGAAUAAGCUCCGGCUAACUCCGUG
RNAcentral lists this ribosomal RNA (433 nucleotides) under uncultured bacterium. RNAcentral's name for it is "bacterial SSU rRNA". It matches the Rfam family "Bacterial small subunit ribosomal RNA", at positions 29 to 507 of the family's 1533-position model. The record is from RNAcentral.